This 212-nucleotide long non-coding RNA is filed under the name Phoenix dactylifera (date palm). RNAcentral's name for it is "long non-coding RNA (PDAC_LNC010143)". Lineage: Eukaryota; Viridiplantae; Streptophyta; Magnoliopsida; Arecales; Arecaceae. The record is from RNAcentral.
UUUGAGUUGGAGUAGAGUAGGGCUUCUUGAACUUUUGGGUCUCCUCUUGAACGUCUGGUCGACUUGAAGGCAGGAGGAGACUUCUUUAAAUGCUGGGAAGAGGUAGUUGGAUGGAGUUUAUGGCGCUCUUCCUUCUUUUCUGUUGAAAACCAGUUUGCCGAGAAAGGAUGCUUGAUUUCUUUGAGUGGAAUAGUGCUUCUCUGCUUUGCUAC